AAAAAAAAAAAAAAAGAAAAAGAAAAAGAAAAAGAUAAAGUAGGAGCAUAAACAAAGUGCAAAUGAAGUGCUGAGUCUUUGAGCUUCGAGGGAAGGAAGCGCGAUUCGCAUGUUGCUCGUUUACCUUCUGGAUCUUGUUUGACAGCACUCCCAACGUUGUUGUUUGGAUGACAUAGAAGUGCUGUCGAACAUGAUCCAGAAGGUGCUGUCGAACAACAUACAAAAAGGGGUUUACUUUACGUACCGCCCAUCACGAUCUUCUUCUUCUUCUUCUUCCUGAAAGAGUAUCAAACAUGGGGUUUCUGUUUGUUUCUCUUUUUCUUUUUUAAAGUAGAUUUACAUGUUAACUGUAUUGCUCUAGGAUCUAACAAAGAUUCUAACUUGUGGGUUUUGUUUAUUUAAUUAUCCGCUUUCAUCAGCGCAUGCAAAAAUUAUUACUUUUAAUUCGCAGAUAGCUUCAUCAUUUUCAUUUAUCUUACCUAGUGUUUAUUUUGUUCUUUUAAUCUUUGUCUAAACACUAAAUUUAUUUGUUUAAGUGAAUAAAGACCAUAAAAAAAAUGAUUUCUUUUUAUUUUUUGAGUGGGCAUAUAUUAAAUUGGGGAUGAGGGAAUUUUCUACACGCAGGCUAUACCAGAGAUCAUUGGCGUCUAUUUGUUUGUAGAGGAGCAUGUUUAUGUAUGUAAAUAUGUAAAUAUUGUCUGUGUAUGUAUUUUGCUGAAACGUUUGUGAAUCUGGUUAAAUGCCUUGGAAACUGAAUUCUUUGGAUGUGAAUAUUUUAUUUUGUGUACGUGUGUGUCUGUGGUUUAAAGUGUCAAAGAUGUUUUUUUUUCUCUUUUGAUUUCCCGAUUUCUUUUGCUGUUAUAUCACUGACUGGAAUGAAUUGAGACAGUGAAGAAACUCCUCUUUGUAGAUGUUGUCUCUAUGCAUCAGAAACGAAUGAAAAAUAUAAUUUGAGUAUCUCAUUUAUCCAUCUCUUAAACGUAAGCAUGUUAGUUUCUGGAGGUGUAUGCCUCCAAAUAUUAUUGUAUGGUAAGUGGAUGAGUAGAGAACUCUUUAGCAUGGUAUCCUUUCCUUAUUGACUAGGGAAUCCUAGCAUCUUUUACUUCUUAAGUUUUGUACCUGCAAAAAAGGGAAACACAAAUGAAAAAGAAAGGUGAGAUGUGACACAUAAAUUGUGGUGGGUCUUUUUGUGUUGAUGCUAACCAUGGUGCUUUGGGAAUACUCAUCAAGAAUUGUAGAGGCGUAGUCGUGGAAGCACAAGCAAUUUUCAUGCGGUUGUAGAGGGGUGGUUGUUAACAAAGCUCAGCUAUAACAACUAAAGCCUAUAUAAUUGUUCACGGGGUUCUCAUGGCUGGCAGAUUAGGCAUUAUCCAAUUACUUCAUUGAAUCAGAUAACUAAACACUAGCAUGGGCUAUAGAAGGUUUGCCAGGUCCAUGUUCGUGGAAGGUGCAGACCAUUGUUUCAGAUAUGCAAAUCGUGCUUGCUUUUUUCCAUUGUUGCUGAUUUGGAUUGCUAAGAAGUCUUUACGGGGUCUCCUUCCUUUAGAUUGUUUUUAUGAUUUUCCUUAUUAUUUUCCAUGUAUUCCAUAUAAUGAUGUUUUAUCUCAUGGAGAUGCUUAAUUUAAUUGCUUCAAUCUUUCGUCUUGAUGUCCAAAAAACCAACUCCACGUAUUUUGGUCAAAUUGACUUGUCAAUUUGUAAUUAGCAAUUGGACCAGUUGGGUCCCACUCCAAAGAUAUUCUCCCUUUUCCUUUCUUUUCCUCGGACCGGAGUCCACAAUGUGGGUCUUCAAUUAGCAACUUAGAGCCGGUUCAAUCGCUGGAAUGUAGGUCAGAGUUUCCAGUCUUUCCCGGUGGAUAUCCGACUGACAUUGACAAGCAAAGACAAUGGAAGUGAUUCUCACAGGUACCUGAAAUUUCAUUUGCCUCUGCACUCCUUACCUCUUUCAAGUUAGGAUUAAUCUCAACUGAUUAAGAUGAGAGUGAUGUUGAAGAAACUGCGGAUCAGGAGGGUGCUGUCAAGGAAGAUCAUCCGGAACCGGAGGGAACAAAUUGGUCCCGUCAUGGGUCAGAUUUCCCAAACUGAUGGCCGUAUUCACGAUAUUCUUCUGUUCCAUUUUAGGUGUUGGGAUCAAAUUUGAAGUGUAAGAUGGAAGAGGUGAAUAACAUCUGGAGGUUGGUGUGGAACACCAUCCUCUGAGGGAGCGCAUCUACAUAGGGAGGCAUCACCAUCGCGGUUUCCUUCUUCUUUUCCUCAAUUUAUUCUUUUGAAGACUAUUAAAUAUGGGAUACAUGUAACUAUCCAUGUCGGUCAUAGGAUUAACCCAAGGAUUCUCACAUGUGGGUUUUGUUUAUUUAAUUGUGUGCUUUGAAUUUUGCACUCAUUUUCGUUUAUCUAAUAAAGUGAUCUGUUUUAUCUGUCUAUGGGUGUUUGUGUAUUUCUAUGGGAUUUAUGCUGCUUUGAAAAUGUGAUUAUUUCUUUGUUUUUACAAAUCUAAUAGGAGUUUCCUUUUGAAAGGAUUUAUAUCUAGUUACCAAAUUUUACAAAAAAAAGCAUGAAAUAUUUUUCCUCCUCCUCUUUGAACUGACAGAUUUCUUUGUGCAUUGAACAUUGUAAGCAAUGUUGGAGUAACUGAAAUAGAAUUUAAAUUGAUUUCUUAUGAAUCUUUAUGAGGUCAGAGAUGGAAUGAUAAUGGCAUGAAACCCAUGAGAAAUAAUAACUUAUAAAAUCACGAAUUCAUGUAUUUUCACCGCUUGGGAAGCUUUGGUCCAACCCUUCAAUGAUACAUCUAGCAAUUUACCAGGUUGGUGAAAGGAUUUUUAAAUUUUGUAAAGCUUUAUGGUGUUAAUCUGAAGCAAACUUGACGGUUCUUGGGUAAUAUAAGGCAAAUUGUAUGAUAGUUCUUUGCUUACUACUAAAAUAAUCAUUUUCAUUGCAAAGGUUGGAGAUUAAAUGAAAUAAGUACAAUUCAGUUUUUCUUGAAUGAGAGAGCUGGUACUCAAAUACCUUUUAAUAUGGCUGCCAAAACAUUUUCACUUUAUGGCUGGUUGAUUUGCUUUAUGGUUCCAAUACUUCAGGUAGACCUGUUAUGUUCUUGGGAAGUCGUGCAUCGUCAUGAGUUAACUUUAGAUUUCCUUGUCAGGUGAGCUGUUUAUUCUAAUCUCUCUCUCUCUUUCUCCAGUUCUACUUUCUAAUCGCUGGAGCUGUGGAACAAUCUGGAGGGUGCUCUGGAACAUGACCUGGAGGGUGUUGUCGAAUAAGAUCCAGAGGAAGGAACUGGAGCCUGUGGAUCACAUCUACACGUGGAGGCACAUCUAUAGUUAUGCCCAUCAUGCCCAUGGAUAUAUGUAGGUGGAGGAGGCAAAGACCGAAUUAUAUUCAGCUCGUCUGCAUCCUGUCCUUCAGAAAGUACUUGUGCAAUAAGUAGUGACCAUUCAAUGCUUGAUCGCGUGGUCUGCACCAGCAUAGAUAAUUUUCUUUCUGGUGGAGAACUCUAUCGGUUUGAAUAUGGUGUUAGUCUAGCUCUCCUUGUCGCCAAAACACAAGGUGGUACCUGUACCCUUGCUCCUGGCACUCCACUUCUAGUUGUGGAGGACCGUUUGGCAGACCACCUCGAGAGAGGCUUUUGGGGACUACCACCUUUUCAAAAACAACUGUGAAAACUUUGCAAUAUAUUGCAAACCAGACUUUCAAGUUGCGGUUUUACAAUUUUAGUGUUGGCAGAAGUGGAUGGGCAGUAUCCUUCGCGGUUGGCAUUACUGCUCACAUUUGUUCUACAAUUCAAUCCUCGGCCAUUAUAAAUACUGUUCUGCAUGCCAUUCUGCAUUUUACUAUCGGUUAUGGCAUUUACUCUGCGUACAGAUGGGCUUCUGAUAUUGGAGUUCGUCCUAAUGUUGGUAAAGAUGCAGAUGAGGGAUUGGCUGAAGAAGAGUCCUGGCUGUUAUGGAAACAUGGUCAGUAGUAAAUUCAGGUCAACAUUACUGCCUGAAAUGGCUCGUUUGGAAUGUUUUGGUAGUAGCAGUGUGGUGGAUUUGUUGUUAUGAAUUGCAGUGGACCAUAGAGUACGUAAGUUUUCUUCUUGGUUGGAUGGUUCUGACUGGUACAGCCUGGGUGGCGUUAUUUGUUCCCAUUGAUUCGGCCGCAAAAGAAAAUAAAGAAAACAGUUCCUAUUUUUUAUCUGUCUAAGCACUUGAGGAUCGUUUUAUAUGUCUUGCGACCUUGAGGCUUUGGCUUCGCAAGCAAAACACGGCUUCUAGUGUUGGAUAACAUUAACUGCUAUUUCAUUUUGUUUUAUUUCUGUUUUUGGGCGUAGUUUGCCUGCAAUUUGUCAUCCGUGCUAAUGAUCACCAGUGGCAUGUUGCUGGCCCGCCUAUUAUUUAUUGGUUGACUUUAAUUAUGUAAUGAUUUUAAAAAAUUAAUUUGAAAAAGUGAAUUUUUUUUAGUAA
Molecule: RNA transcript, 4445 nt
Organism: Ziziphus jujuba (common jujube)
Lineage: Eukaryota; Viridiplantae; Streptophyta; Magnoliopsida; Rosales; Rhamnaceae
Gene name: protein LEAD-SENSITIVE 1-like
Exons: 3
Source: RefSeq, a predicted model, not a curated record